This 600-nucleotide unclassified non-coding RNA is filed under the name Leishmania donovani. RNAcentral's name for it is "gene:unknown". The record is from RNAcentral. Lineage: Eukaryota; Euglenozoa; Kinetoplastea; Trypanosomatida; Trypanosomatidae.
AAGCAUAUCUAUCUGCGUGUGCAUGUACGUGUGUAGAUCAAUAUGUGUAUGUGUAUGCACAGCACAUGUCAAAACGAACGGGCUCAAAUUUGUGAAGAGAGAAAAAUGGAAUAAGAAGAGUGCAAGGCGCCGAAGAAGAACAGCAAAGUGGCGCACGUGACUCAUGCUCACCACACCAUCUCUGGUAUCCUACUCCAGCAUGGCGAGAGCGCUAGUCGCGGCGACCUCUCUCUGUCUCUGGCACAGUGAUACGGAUUGGCCGCGGAAGUGACACGAACCAAAAAAAAGGCGAUCAGGCAAUCUCGAAUGGACUCGGGCAAGGAAGGUGACUGCUGUAGCUUGGGCACGUUCUUUUGGAUCAGCACACGCACACACACGCAUGUGCGAAACACAUCGCUAUCGACAUGCUUACUGAGGAAGCCUCUAGCCUCGCUGCGGUCGACCUCAACACUCCCUUUCGCGUCCAAUGAUCUUGGCCGCUGGCUUCAGUCUUCAACUUCGCGUUUCUCUAUUCGGCCGCUUGCUGCAUUUAUACUCGUGACAGCACGCGCAUCUCCGUAUUUGGCCGUUGUACCCCCCCCCCCGCGUCGUCAAACGAAG